RNAcentral lists this ribosomal RNA (446 nucleotides) under uncultured bacterium. Its description in RNAcentral is "partial 16S ribosomal RNA". It matches the Rfam family "Bacterial small subunit ribosomal RNA", at positions 338 to 795 of the family's 1533-position model. The record is from RNAcentral.
CCUACGGGGCGCAGCAGUCGAGAAUCAUUCACAAUGGGGGAAACCCUGAUGGUGCGACGCCGCGUGGGGGAAUGAAGGUCUUCGGAUUGUAAACCCCUGUCAUGUGGGAGCAAAUUAAAAAGAUCGUACCACACGAGGAAGAGACGGCUAACUCUGUGCCAGCAGCCGCGGUAAUACAGAGGUCUCAAGCGUUGUUCGGAAUCACUGGGCGUAAAGCGUGCGUAGGCUGUUUCGUAAGUCGUGUGUGAAAGGCGCGGGCUCAACCCGCGGACGGCACAUGAUACUGCGAGACUAGAGUAAUGGAGGGGGAACCGGAAUUCUCGGUGUAGCAGUGAAAUGCGUAGAUAUCGAGAGGAACACUCGUGGCGAAGGCGGGUUCCUGGACAUUAACUGACGCUGAGGCACGAAGGCCAGGGGAGCGAAAGGGAUUAGAUACCCCAGUAGUC